CUCAUGUAGCUGGCUGUAUGAGACCUUUUCACAAUUUAACGCGAUAUUGUUAAAUCACAAGUUUGCGGUUUCAGCAGUGUUUACACUCAGUUGAACAUUUUUCAUGAUUUAGAGAUGUCACAAUUUCCUCAGACAGAGGCAUCUCUGCACUACUAGGAGCUUGCUGCGCUAAUGCAACCUGAACAGCACGGCAAAGCAUCUGAUCUGCUUGAUUUGAGAAGAUGUGGCUGGGCCUGCAGAGCAAGGGUGCCCUGCAAGCUCUCACUCAAGGAACGCAUUUCAAUGGUCAUCUGUCAGCCGACUGGGUGUGUCAAAGUACCAUUAGAAGGUCAACUAAACAAUAAUUGAAGGGAAACCAUAGCCAUGAAAAAUAAAUGCUUGGUCAACGAUGAACCACAGAACAUUUCGUCCCAGCUGCUCUCAAGUGUCAUCAAGGGCUACAACAGGACUCCUCGCGAAGUUUCUGGAUUCGCACCUUCCUACUAGAUGCAGAUCAUAUCCGGCCAUAUUGAAGCAACGUGGUGAUAAUGCUGAGAAAGCAAACUGGUGAAGAGCUUGCUCGCCUGC
Non-coding RNA from Dermacentor andersoni, 567 nucleotides. NCBI's taxonomy places the organism in Eukaryota, Metazoa, Arthropoda, Arachnida, Ixodida, Ixodidae. The record is from RefSeq and is a predicted model, not a curated record.